Molecule: long non-coding RNA, 1553 nt
Filed under: Nicotiana tabacum (common tobacco)
Lineage: Eukaryota; Viridiplantae; Streptophyta; Magnoliopsida; Solanales; Solanaceae
Description: long non-coding RNA (NTAB_LNC011603)
Source: RNAcentral
GCAACGACCCUUUGGUAAAAUUAUUUGUGGCAACGUUUUCAAUUCUCCCAAAUUUUUUCGCUUCUGAUUUUUCUAGACCCGCAACCUUUUAUUAAGUAUAUUACUUUCUUUAUUUCUUUGUUUUUCUAUGGCUAUUGCUCUCACUAAAACUUAGAUUUCUUCAAUUCCUCGGAUAUGUUGCAUCGCCGCCCAAAAAACCCUGCGGCAAAACUUUCAUUAAUCGCCGCCAGACGACCUAACCCCCCACCGGCAAAGCUUUUUAUUGCUUUAAAGGCAUCCAAUGUUAGCCCUCAAGCACUGUAACAUAACCUUCUUUGCCCAAUUUCAUUCGCUUGGUCUACAUUAGUUUUCUUCGCUAUUGUGGAUCAAAAUAGUCGAGGUUUCUUAAUUUUCUUUAUUGUGGGUCAGCUUCAAGGUAAGUCCAACUCAUUGCUUCUUCUUUUUUAUUCUAGUUUUUAAAAAAUUUCUCAUCUAAGUGGGUGAAACGUAUCUCUAGGUUAAUUUUAGAUUUUGAGGGUGUAAUUUGUGUGGGUAAAUAGAGUUUUAACUAUACUUUGUUAUGUGAUCGAUUUAGAUGUUGCAAUAGGUGAGUUGCUCUUUUGUUGGGGUUAAAAUUGAGCUUAAUGGAGUAUGUCAUGUACCUCCAUUGUUCGAUAGAAUGCCAGCCAAGUAGUAGCAAGUAGGCUUGUCAGUCGUCACAUUUCUCUUCUUUGUUGCAAGAGUUAGUCACCAUUAAUGUCCCUGGAUAAUAUUGUCGCGCUUACGCUAUAGUUCCUGUCUUAAACAUGAGUUUCAGGCUUGUGAUCACAAAUAAUGAAAAGCCAAUGCCUACAGGGGCGGAUGUAGCAUUUCAAAUACGGGUUCAAAUAAACUCAUAACUUUCGAUAUGGAGUAUGAAUUUAUAUGUAAGAAUCUAUUAAAUUCUCAAUAAGUAUUAGAUUUGAACCCAUAAUUUUAACCGCACAAUGAGUUCAAUGCUAAAAAUUAUAAAAGUUGAACCCAUUAAAUUUAAAUUCUGGAUCCGCCUCUGAAUGCCUACUGAGAAUUAGUUUUUGAUGUUUAUUCUUCACAUGUUCUUCCUAGUGGCCUCAUUUUGCUUAUGUAUGGAGUUUUAGGUCUGUUGAUUAACCGAACAGUGGUAACCAGUAUGAGCUUGAUUAACUUCAAUCCAUUUCUGAAAUAUUGCUCUUUCUUUCUCUUGUUUAUUUGGUCUAUUAAUUGCUUCAAAGUGUACUGCUCAUUUUCAAGUUCAGUUGCAAUUUGUUUCCCCUUGUUCUUGUUGAUUUUAUCUAUGUUCUGACCCUUCUUGCUAACUAUAGCAGCCUAUCAUUUCCACUAUGGUGAAAUAAGAAGGGUCAGAAUAAUGCAUGGUACCAUGGAGAAGAUCUCAUUUACCACUCAGGAUAAUAUGGAGAAGAUUUGAAUACUGGCUGUGCCCACUUAAUGUACAUUUGCGAUAUUUUUCUAUUCAUUGAAAAUAUAUUCUUUUGUGAGUUAUUUGCUGAUUUAUUUAUUUAUCAUCUUUUAUAGGUGACAAAAAUGACCCGAGAGUA